GCAUUGGUGGUUCAGUGGUGUAAUUCUCGCCUCCCACGCGGGAGACCCGGGUCCGAUUCCCGGCCAAUACA
This 71-nucleotide transfer RNA is filed under the name Danio rerio (zebrafish). It matches the Rfam family "tRNA". From Rfam's summary of the family: Transfer RNA (tRNA) molecules are approximately 80 nucleotides in length. Their secondary structure includes four short double-helical elements and three loops (D, anti-codon, and T loops). Lineage: Eukaryota; Metazoa; Chordata; Actinopteri; Cypriniformes; Danionidae. The record is from Rfam by way of RNAcentral.